CCUACGGGAGGCAGCAGUGGGGAAUAUUGCGCAAUGGGCGAAAGCCUGACGCAGCGACGCCGCGUGAGGGAUGAAGGUCUUCGGAUCGUAAACCUCUGUCAGCAGGGAAGAACGGUCACUUUGCUAAUCAGCAGUGAAUUGACGGUACCUGCAAAGGAAGCACCGGCUAACUCCGUGCCAGCAGCCGCGGUAAUACGGAGGGUGCGAGCGUUAAUCGGAAUUACUGGGCGUAAAGCGCUCGUAGGCGGUAUGUCAAGUCAAGGGUGAAAUCCCCGCGCUCAACGUGGGAACUGCCUUUGAAACGGGGAAACGGGAGUGUGGGAGAGGAUAGUGGAAUUCCAGGUGUAGGAGUGAAAUCCGUAGAUAUCUGGAGGAACAUCAGUGGCGAAGGCGACUAUCUGGCACAUAACUGACGCUGAGGAGCGAAAGCGUGGGUAGCAAACAGGAUUAGAUACCCGAGUAGUC
This 465-nucleotide ribosomal RNA is filed under the name uncultured bacterium. RNAcentral describes it as "partial 16S ribosomal RNA". It matches the Rfam family "Bacterial small subunit ribosomal RNA", at positions 338 to 795 of the family's 1533-position model. The record is from RNAcentral.